This is a non-coding RNA of Pelobates cultripes (western spadefoot toad), 211 nucleotides long. Lineage: Eukaryota; Metazoa; Chordata; Amphibia; Anura; Pelobatidae. The record is from the annotation of a GenBank genome assembly.
CCAAUAUGUUUUUUCUGUCGGCUUACUUUGUACUAAUUGUCCAAUAUGAGGAUUAUCUCUAUGUGCUUCUCAUAUAUCUUCCCUGGUAAUUGACUUGCAUGGAUUUAUACACUCCAUUGAGUAAUCGAGAUAAUUCAUUGCUGACUAUGACACAUUCGAUUCCUGGAUGGUCGCUUCAACGCAACCAGACACCAGUUCUUCUGUAUACUGC